Molecule: long non-coding RNA, 424 nt
Filed under: Apteryx owenii (little spotted kiwi)
Lineage: Eukaryota; Metazoa; Chordata; Aves; Apterygiformes; Apterygidae
Description: lncRNA (ENSAOWG00000014120.1)
Source: RNAcentral
AACGGCCGCCUGCGCAGCGCCGCGGGCGGUGAGGGAAACCAGCGGGUUGUAUCCGCUGACAACCACGGAAAUACAUGCAAAGGCGGGACUGAAAGUUGUUUGUCUGUUGCCAGUUAGCUGCUAAUCAAUACUGUUUUCCACAGUUGUGUCCCGACAAGAGGGCRUGAAGCCAGUGUUUGGAUCAGACCCAUUUCUGAUGGGGAAUUUAGGAUGGAAAACGUCGAAUAGUCCCCUUUCCCAUGUGUAUCUCAGGGGCUGAAAAAAUAAUGUCCCUAAGAGACAUGCGGAGGCUCUGCAACUUGUGAGCACAGUGACUAGUCCACCAGCACCCUUCAGACAACCUUGCCUUACGCUGAAUGGAAGCAGAAGCAUCCUUGGACCAUACUACUGCUACACUCAUCAUUGAGCCUCUUGAACAGCCCAG